UUACUGGGCGUAAAGCGCACGCAGGCGGUCUGUCAAGUNNGAUGUGAAAUCCCCGGGCUCAACCUGGGAANUGCAUUCGAAACUGGCAGGCUAGAGUCUUGUAGAGGGGGGUAGAAUUCCAGGUGUAGCGGUGAAAUGCGUAGAGAUCUGGAGGAAUACCGGUGGCGAAGGCGGCCCCCUGGACAAAGACUGACGCUCAGGUGCGAAAGCGUGGGGAGCAAACAGG
Molecule: ribosomal RNA, 226 nt
Filed under: uncultured Enterobacteriaceae bacterium
Lineage: Bacteria; Pseudomonadati; Pseudomonadota; Gammaproteobacteria; Enterobacterales; Enterobacteriaceae
Description: partial 16S ribosomal RNA
Rfam family: Bacterial small subunit ribosomal RNA
Source: RNAcentral